RNAcentral lists this ribosomal RNA (550 nucleotides) under Klebsiella pneumoniae. Its description in RNAcentral is "bacterial SSU rRNA". It matches the Rfam family "Bacterial small subunit ribosomal RNA", at positions 1 to 542 of the family's 1533-position model. Lineage: Bacteria; Pseudomonadati; Pseudomonadota; Gammaproteobacteria; Enterobacterales; Enterobacteriaceae. The record is from RNAcentral.
AAAUUGAAGAGUUUGAUCAUGGCUCAGAUUGAACGCUGGCGGCAGGCCUAACACAUGCAAGUCGAGCGGUAGCACAGAGAGCUUGCUCUCGGGUGACGAGCGGCGGACGGGUGAGUAAUGUCUGGGAAACUGCCUGAUGGAGGGGGAUAACUACUGGAAACGGUAGCUAAUACCGCAUAACGUCGCAAGACCAAAGUGGGGGACCUUCGGGCCUCAUGCCAUCAGAUGUGCCCAGAUGGGAUUAGCUAGUAGGUGGGGUAACGGCUCACCUAGGCGACGAUCCCUAGCUGGUCUGAGAGGAUGACCAGCCACACUGGAACUGAGACACGGUCCAGACUCCUACGGGAGGCAGCAGUGGGGAAUAUUGCACAAUGGGCGCAAGCCUGAUGCAGCCAUGCCGCGUGUGUGAAGAAGGCCUUCGGGUUGUAAAGCACUUUCAGCGGGGAGGAAGGCGAUAAGGUUAAUAACCUUGUCGAUUGACGUUACCCGCAGAAGAAGCACCGGCUAACUCCGUGCCAGCAGCCGCGGUAAUACGGAGGGUGCAAGCGUU